This is a long non-coding RNA of Dufourea novaeangliae, 345 nucleotides long. RefSeq lists it as uncharacterized. The transcript has 3 exons. NCBI's taxonomy places the organism in Eukaryota, Metazoa, Arthropoda, Insecta, Hymenoptera, Halictidae. The record is from RefSeq and is a predicted model, not a curated record.
GCGUUAAAAGUAUCGGGAGCCUCGUCGAAAUCCCAAGGACGUGUUUGUCGCGAAAGUAAUAGAUUUGCUAGAAAGGAUCCUGAGACACUGUAAUCCAUUGAAUUCCGGCGGGAGAUACAACUGCAUCCAGUAGAUUUUUUUCCCGUGCAGUACAUUUGAAUAAUACUGAUGGACGCACCUCGCGUAUGUUUACAAUCUUAAUCGUCGUACCGCGUGAGUAAUAAGUUCGAAAUAAUUUUCUAAUUAUAUGGGUGUUGCGAUAUUGGUCCUACGUAACCUAACGCACACGGAUUUCCACGGCACGCACUUUGUAAAUUGUGAAGCUAAAUGUUAAACGGAGAAUCU